Molecule: ribosomal RNA, 472 nt
Filed under: uncultured bacterium
Lineage: Bacteria
Description: bacterial SSU rRNA
Rfam family: Bacterial small subunit ribosomal RNA
Source: RNAcentral
GAAGAGCAUCCUACGGGAGGCAGCAGUGGGGAAUAGUUGCACAAUGGGCGCAAGCCUGAUGCAGCCAUGCCGCGUGUAUGAAGAAGGCCUUCGGGUUGUAAAGUACUUUCAGCAGUGAGGAAGGUGGAUAUGUUAAUAGCAUAUUCAUUUGACGUUAGCUGCAGAAGAAGCACCGGCUAACUCCGUGCCAGCAGCCGCGGUAAUACGGAGGGUGCGAGCGUUAAUCGGAAUUACUGGGCGUAAAGCGCAUGCAGGUGGUUUGUUAAGUCAGAUGUGAAAGCCCGGGGCUCAACCUCGGAAUUGCAUUUGAAACUGGCAAACUAGAGUACUGUAGAGGGGGUAGAAUUUCAGGUGUAGCGGUGAAAUGCGUAGAGAUCUGAAGGAAUACCGGUGGCGAAGGCGGCCCCCUGGACAGAUACUGACACUCAGAUGCGAAAGCGUGGGGAGCAAACAGGAUUAGAUACCCUGGUAG